GGCGCACGGGUGAGUAACGCGUAGGUAAUCUACCCUUAUAUCUGGGAUAACAUUGGGAAACUGGUGCUAAUACCGGAUACACUUUUCUGCUGCGGGGCAGAAGAGGAAAGGUGGCCUCUUGGUCAAAGCUACCGUAUAGGGAUGAGCCUGCGUACCAUUAGCUGGUAGGUGGGGUAACGGCCCACCUAGGCCACGAUGGUUAGCGGGUCUGAGAGGAUGAUCCGCCACACUGGAACUGGAACACGGACCAGACUCCUACGGGAGGCAGCAGUGAGGAAUAUUGCGCAAUGGGGGAAACCCUGACGCAGCGACGCCGCGUGAGUGAGGAAGGUCUUCGGAUCGUAAAGCUCUGUCAGGAGGGAAGAAGUGUUAGGUGGUUAAUACCCAUUUAAUUUGACGGUACCUUCAGAGGAAGCACCGGCUAACUCCGUGCCAGCAGCCGCGGUAAUACGGAGGGUGCGAGCGUUGUUCGG
Molecule: ribosomal RNA, 473 nt
Filed under: uncultured delta proteobacterium
Lineage: Bacteria; Deltaproteobacteria
Description: bacterial SSU rRNA
Rfam family: Bacterial small subunit ribosomal RNA
Source: RNAcentral